GAAAUCAAUGCACAAUUGAAGUCUGGGGAGGGAUUCCCUCUCCUUAACCAUCUCUCCCUCUUAACUCCCCUUAGGUAUUUGCUGACCUGUUUGACCCUGUGAUCCAAGAGCGACACAAUGGAUAUGACCCCCGGACAAUGAAGCACACCACGGAUCUGGAUGCCAGUAAAAUCCGUUCUGGCUACUUUGAUGAGAGGUAUGUAUUGUCCUCUAGAGUCAGAACUGGCCGAAGCAUCCGAGGACUCAGUCUGCCUCCAGCUUGCACUCGAGCAGAGCGACGAGAGGUGGAACGUGUUGUGGUGGAUGCACUGAGUGGCCUGAAGGGUGACCUG
Molecule: small RNA, 332 nt
Filed under: Pongo abelii (Sumatran orangutan)
Lineage: Eukaryota; Metazoa; Chordata; Mammalia; Primates; Hominidae
Description: processed transcript
Source: RNAcentral